RNAcentral lists this ribosomal RNA (254 nucleotides) under uncultured bacterium. RNAcentral describes it as "partial 16S ribosomal RNA". It matches the Rfam family "Bacterial small subunit ribosomal RNA", at positions 524 to 776 of the family's 1533-position model. The record is from RNAcentral.
UACGGAGGGUGCGAGCGUUGUUCGGAAUCAUUGGGCGUAAAGCGCGCGCAGGCGGUCUGGGAAGUCUAUGGGUGAAAUGCCGGGGCUCAACUCCGUGCAUGCCCAGGAUACUCUCAGGCUAGAGACAUGUAGAGGCUGGCGGAAUUCCGGGUGUAGCGGUGGAAUGCGUAGAGAUCCGGAAGAACACCAGAGGCGAAGGCGGCCAGCUGGGCAUGAUCUGACGCUGAGGCGCGAAAGCGUGGGGAGCGAACAGG